RNA transcript from Folsomia candida, 1581 nucleotides. RefSeq lists it as uncharacterized. The transcript is spliced from 6 exons. The record is from RefSeq and is a predicted model, not a curated record. NCBI's taxonomy places the organism in Eukaryota, Metazoa, Arthropoda, Collembola, Entomobryomorpha, Isotomidae.
CAUCCUUGCAGACGUGAACUUUUCUGUUAUUUGAGUUGAUUGAUUAAGGUAGACGGAAAAUAAUAAUAAAAUUCCGGGAUGAAAAUAUUACACAAACUUGUCGUGGUCACCACGGCAUUGUUCGGGGUUCCGAGUUUGUUGUACUUUAAAAAUGAUAAAAGUAAUCAGAGUCGAAAUGAGAGAUACGUUUGGCAGAGAGAUUCAAAAGUAUUGCCCCCAUUAUACAUCCGCCAAACGUAUGAUAUGCCGGAGGAGAAUUUGCAUAUUCAAAAUCUACCCAAUCAGGUGGAGUACCAAGCGUCACCACCCAGGAAUAAAUCAAUUUAUAGAAUUAAACCAUCCGUUCUGAUAAAAGCUCGUGUGAUUUACAACUUACGGCAAUCCAUGCGAACGGACUUACAGGGGUUUAAUAUCAGCUGGCAAAAGGGCAAGAAAAUUUUUGUUGAAGAAUUUAUAAGUAUCAGGAAUCACAAAAAACAAAACUUUUUGCAUAGAUCACAUUCCUGAUUUUGGUGGCAAACCGAUUCGCAACAUCAUAGUCUCCACUUGGCGCUCAGGCUCAACAUUUUUGGCUGAAUUGGUUAGCAGUCAUCCAGGAACUCUUCUAAUUUUUGAACCCUUCAUGUACAUGGAAAGUGAACGGAUUCGUCCAAAGUGGAGGUAUCAAAUGGGAUAACAAUGAGCAAAUCAAUUUUUAAUUGUUACUUUAAUUACACUGAGUGGACUGGAAAUGGCGGGAACUUCAUUUCCGGCAUGAUUAGUCGUAGCGACAAAAUGAAGCCAUUUUGAACCAUAGUCCAGGAUGGUUGUCGUGACCCUCAAUUUAUUUCGAAAGUCUGCACAUUCUUUCCCAUCCAACUCGUCAAAUUUGUAAGAUUUAGGUUGAAAGAUGCAGAGGAAUUGUUAUCGGAUGAAGAAUAUGAUACUCGUCUCAUUUACCUCGUCCGGGACCCAAGAGGAACAAUGAAGUCGAGGAAUAAUGGGUCAAACUACUGGUGUGACCAUCAUCCCGAUUGUUCUGAUGAGCGUCGUCUCUGUUCUGAUUUGGUGGACGAAUUUGCAGAUGCAAAAACUUUAAGGGAAAAAUACCCCAAGCGCUUCAAGGUCCUACGUUACGAAGACGUAUCAUUAAACGUACCACUCGCAGCGAAAACGAUUCUUCCCUUUUUCCGAUUAAGCUAUCAUUCGAAAGUCAAGCAGUUUGCUAUGCUUCAUUCGAGACUUACUCGAAAGGGUGAAUUUGGCACGUAUCGCAAUUCAAAAAAGGUUGCGUUUAGUUGGUUUAACUUUUAUCGCAAUAAUGUCACGCGUUUGGACAGAAUUCAAAAUUCUUGUGAAGAAGCGAUGGAUUUGUGGGGAUACAAACCUUUGGAUAUUAACCGGCUUGAGGUAGAUGAUGACGGUUAUCAAGGAAAUUACACACUAAAAGGGCUUGUUUUAGACCAACCACCUUGGGAGGAUAUGAAUUUUUUAUGAAUUUGUAUUGUCCUUUUUUCAAAUUAGGAUAGACUUAAAAUUGUAAAUAUGUAAUUAUGUCUGCGCAAAUAAAGCGCUCGACUGUGGGGCUGCAACUCCUCUGAA